This is a long non-coding RNA of Oncorhynchus keta (chum salmon), 502 nucleotides long. RefSeq lists it as uncharacterized. The record is from RefSeq and is a predicted model, not a curated record. The transcript has 3 exons. Lineage: Eukaryota; Metazoa; Chordata; Actinopteri; Salmoniformes; Salmonidae.
CUCACAACCAGGUUGACAUCCUUAUGGGUAGUAAGGUAGAGACAGAGUCCAGGGAUUCAACCAGGUUGACAUCCUUAUGGGUAGUAAGGUAGAGACAGAGUCCAGGGAUUCAACCAGGUUGACAUCCUUAUGGGUAGUAAGGUAGAGACAGAGUCCAGGGAUUCAACCAGGUUGACAUCCUUAUGGGUAGUAAGGUAGAGACAGAGUCCAGGGAUUCAACCAGGUUGACAUCCUUAUGGGUAGUAAGGUAGAGACAGAGUCCAGGGAUUCAACCAGGUUGACAUCCUUAUGGGUAGUAAGGUAGAGACAGAGUCCAGGGAUUCAACCAGGUUGACAUCCUUAUGGGUAGUAAGGUAGAGACAGAGUCCAGGGAUUCAACCAGGUUGACAUCCUUAUGGGUAGUAAGGUAGAGACAGAGUCCAGGGAUUCAACCAGGUUGACAUCCUUAUGGGUAGUAAGGUAGAGACAGAGUCCAGGGAUUCAAAGAGCUGCCUAUCAGUGU